AAUAUUGGACAAUGGGCGGAAGCCUGAUCCAGCAACGCCGCGUGAGGGAUGACGGCCUUCGGGUUGUAAACCUCUUUCAGCACAGACGAAGCGCAAGAGACGGUAUGUGCAGAAGAAGGACCGGCCAACUACGUGCCAGCAGCCGCGGUAAUACGUAGGGUCCGAGCGUUGUCCGGAAUUAUUGGGCGUAAAGGGCUCGUAGGCGGUCUGUCGCGUCGGGAGUGAAAACCAGGUGCUUAACACCUGGCCUGCUUUCGAUACGGGCAGACUAGAGGUACUCAGGGGAGAAUGGAAUUCCUGGUGUAGCGGUGAAAUGCGCAGAUAUCAGGAGGAACACCGGUGGCGAAGGCGGUUCUCUGGGAGUAUCCUGACGCUGAGGAGCGAAAGUGUGGGGAGCGAACAGGAUUAGAUACCCUGGUAGUCCACACCGUAAACGUUGGGCGCU
Molecule: ribosomal RNA, 445 nt
Filed under: Nocardioides luteus
Lineage: Bacteria; Bacillati; Actinomycetota; Actinomycetes; Propionibacteriales; Nocardioidaceae
Description: bacterial SSU rRNA
Rfam family: Bacterial small subunit ribosomal RNA
Source: RNAcentral